AAUGGGCGCAAGCCUGAUCUAGCCAUGCCGCGUGAGUGAUGAAGGCCUUAGGGUCGUAAAGCUCUUUCGCCAGGGAUGAUAAUGACAGUACCUGGUAAAGAAACCCCGGCUAACUCCGUGCCAGCAGCCGCGGUAAUACGGAGGGGGUUAGCGUUGUUCGGAAUUACUGGGCGUAAAGCGCGCGUAGGCGGAUUGGAAAGUUGGGGGUGAAAUCCCGGGGCUCAACCCCGGAACUGCCUCCAAAACUAUCAAUCUAGAGUUCGAGAGAGGUGAGUGGAAUUCCGAGUGUAGAGGUGAAAUUCGUAGAUAUUCGGAGGAACACCAGUGGCGAAGGCGGCUCACUGGCUCGAUACUGACGCUGAGGUGCGAAAGUGUGGGGAGCAAACAGGAUU
This 392-nucleotide ribosomal RNA is filed under the name uncultured Gammaproteobacteria bacterium. RNAcentral's name for it is "bacterial SSU rRNA". It matches the Rfam family "Bacterial small subunit ribosomal RNA", at positions 370 to 779 of the family's 1533-position model. The record is from RNAcentral. Lineage: Bacteria; Pseudomonadati; Pseudomonadota; Gammaproteobacteria.